RNAcentral lists this ribosomal RNA (253 nucleotides) under uncultured bacterium. Its description in RNAcentral is "partial 16S ribosomal RNA". It matches the Rfam family "Bacterial small subunit ribosomal RNA", at positions 524 to 776 of the family's 1533-position model. The record is from RNAcentral.
UACGAAGGGGGCGAGCGUUGUUCGGAAUCACUGGGCGUAAAGGGCGCGUAGGCGGCCCUUCUUGUCGCGUGUGAAAGCCCCGGGCUCAACCGAGGAACUGCGUCCGAUACUGGUGGGCUUGAAUCCGGGAGAGGGAUGUGGAAUUCCAGGUGUAGCGGUGAAAUGCGUAGAUAUCUGGAGGAACACCGGUGGCGAAGGCGGCAUCCUGGACCGGUAUUGACGCUGAGGCGCGAAAGCCAGGGGAGCAAACGGG